This 801-nucleotide ribosomal RNA is filed under the name uncultured bacterium. RNAcentral describes it as "bacterial SSU rRNA". It matches the Rfam family "Bacterial small subunit ribosomal RNA", at positions 8 to 807 of the family's 1533-position model. The record is from RNAcentral.
AGAGUUUGAUCCUGGCUCAGGAUGAACGCUGGCGGCGUGCUUAACACAUGCAAGUCGAACGAAGCAUUUAAGACAGAUUUCUUCGGAAUGAAGUUUUUUAUGACUGAGUGGCGGACGGGUGAGUAACGCGUGGGUAACCUGCCUCACACAGGGGGAUAGCAGUUGGAAACGACUGGUAAUACCGCAUAAGCGCACAGCUUCGCAUGAAGCGGUGUGAAAAACUCCGGUGGUACAGGAUGGGCCCGCGUCUGAUUAGCUGGUUGGCAGGGUAACGGCCUACCAAGGCGACGAUCAGUAGCCGGUCUGAGAGGAUGAACGGCCACAUUGGAACUGAGACACGGUCCAAACUCCUACGGGAGGCAGCAGUGGGGAAUAUUGCACAAUGGGGGAAACCCUGAUGCAGCAACGCCGCGUGAGUGAAGAAGUAUUUCGGUAUGUAAAGCUCUAUCAGCAGGGAAGAAAAUGACGGUACCUGACUAAGAAGCCCCGGCUAACUACGUGCCAGCAGCCGCGGUAAUACGUAGGGGGCAAGCGUUAUCCGGAUUUACUGGGUGUAAAGGGAGCGUAGACGGCUUUGCAAGUCUGAUGUGAAAGGCGGGGGCUCAACCCCUGGACUGCAUUGGAAACUGUGAGGCUUGAGUGCCGGAGAGGUAAGCGGAAUUCCUAGUGUAGCGGUGAAAUGCGUAGAUAUUAGGAGGAACACCAGUGGCGAAGGCGGCUUACUGGACGGUAACUGACGUUGAGGCUCGAAAGCGUGGGGAGCAAACAGAAUUAGAUACCCUGGUAGUCCACGCCGUAAAC